CUGACACUUGUCUCGAAAAUUUAGUUGGGAAGAACAAUUUUCCUGAAAAGACAACUAUAUAUGAAAGCCUACAAUGCAAGUAAUUUUCUCUUGAUCAUCUGCUUUGAUUUCCAGACUAACAGAAGAUUGAGAUGGAAGGCUUUUUAUAAAGGAAAAUUUGGAUAUGAAUACAGUGAUGAUUCUGCCAGAGGUAACGAAAUGACACGUGGCUUGGAGUUAAUGUUUGAAGUCCAAGAUAAGCACAGCUCAUAAACAGAGAGACUGCUCCAGUCCUUGUAACUGCUACAUGAGUACAAACGUGCUCCAAAUAGACACUGUACAUUCAUAGUGAUGUGUAACAGUCACCCAGAUUAUCGGAUUGGAUUCUUUACUAAAGGAAGCCGAGCUUCUUAUUUCAGGCUGUGUACAUGCCCAGUGGCUCUAGGUGGACAGUGAAACUGAAACUGAAGUUAUCAGGCUCAAGCCUUCAUUAUUGUGUCCUUUCUUCUUGGUAUGAACGUAAGUUAUUGCGUUUUGUGCAAAUUGGCAGAACAUUUUUGUUUGUUUGUUUUUGGUAAAAAUCUGUAAAAAAUGAUUUGGUAAACUAACCUGAAGGGAAUGAACUGAAAAACAUGCUGCUGGCUAGGUUCUGAAUAGUAAAAAGAACAAAAAAAUGAACACGAAAAGCAUCUCGCAGUAGUUGCUGCCUGAAUA
This 693-nucleotide long non-coding RNA is filed under the name Anas zonorhyncha (Eastern spot-billed duck). Its description in RNAcentral is "lncRNA (ENSAZOG00000018784.1)". Lineage: Eukaryota; Metazoa; Chordata; Aves; Anseriformes; Anatidae. The record is from RNAcentral.